GAUCCUGGCUCAGGAUGAACGCUGGCGGCGUGCCUAACACAUGCAAGUCGAACGAAGCACCUUACCGGAUUCUUCGGAUGAAAGUUUGGUGACUGAGUGGCGGACGGGUGAGUAACGCGUGGGUAACCUGCCCUGUACAGGGGGAUAACAGCUGGAAACGGCUGCUAAUACCGCGUAAGCGCACGAGGAGACAUCUCCUUGUGUGAAAAACUCCGGUGGUACAGGAUGGGCCCGCGUCUGAUUAG
This 245-nucleotide ribosomal RNA is filed under the name uncultured bacterium. RNAcentral describes it as "partial 16S ribosomal RNA". It matches the Rfam family "Bacterial small subunit ribosomal RNA", at positions 15 to 244 of the family's 1533-position model. The record is from RNAcentral.